GGGGAAUAUUGGACAAUGGGCGCAAGCCUGAUCCAGCAAUGCCGCGUGGGUGAAGAAGGCCUUCGGGUUGUAAAGCCCUUUUGUACGGGAAGAAAUCCCACUUGUUAAUACCGGGUGGGGAUGACGGUACCGUAAGAAUAAGCACCGGCUAACUUCGUGCCAGCAGCCGCGGUAAUACGAAGGGUGCAAGCGUUAAUCGGAAUUACUGGGCGUAAAGCGUGCGUAGGUGGUUUGUUAAAUCUGAUGUGAAAGCCCUGGGCUCAACCUGGGAAUGGCAUUGGAUACUGGCUUACUAGAGUGCGGUAGAGGGUAGCGGAAUUUCCGGUGUAGCGGUGAAAUGCGUAGAGAUCGGAAGGAACAUCCGUGGCGAAGGCGGCUACCUGGACCAGCACUGACACUGAGGCACGAAAGCGUGGGGAGCAAAC
This 425-nucleotide ribosomal RNA is filed under the name uncultured bacterium. Its description in RNAcentral is "bacterial SSU rRNA". It matches the Rfam family "Bacterial small subunit ribosomal RNA", at positions 356 to 773 of the family's 1533-position model. The record is from RNAcentral.